AUUGAACGCUGGCGGCAUGCUUUACACAUGCAAGUCGAACGGCAGCGCGGACUUCGGUCUGGCGGCGAGUGGCGAACGGGUGAGUAAUAUAUCGGAACGUACCCAAGAGUGGGGGAUAACGUAGCGAAAGUUACGCUAAUACCGCAUACGAUCUAAGGAUGAAAGCAGGGGAUCGCAAGACCUUGUGCUCCUGGAGCGGCCGAUAUCUGAUUAGCUAGUUGGUGAGGUAAAGGCUCACCAAGGCAACGAUCAGUAGCUGGCCUGAGAGGACGACCAGCCACACUGGAACUGAGACACGGUCCAGACUCCUACGGGAGGCAGCAGUGGGGAAUUUUGGACAAUGGGGGCAACCCUGAUCCAGCAAUGCCGCGUGAGUGAAGAAGGCC
RNAcentral lists this ribosomal RNA (386 nucleotides) under uncultured bacterium. RNAcentral describes it as "bacterial SSU rRNA". It matches the Rfam family "Bacterial small subunit ribosomal RNA", at positions 30 to 416 of the family's 1533-position model. The record is from RNAcentral.